Molecule: ribosomal RNA, 429 nt
Filed under: Chloroflexota bacterium
Lineage: Bacteria; Bacillati; Chloroflexota
Description: Chloroflexi bacterium partial 16S ribosomal RNA
Rfam family: Bacterial small subunit ribosomal RNA
Source: RNAcentral
UGGGGAAUAUUGCACAAUGGGCGCAAGCCUGAUGCAGCCAUGCCGCGUGUGUGAAGAAGGCCUUCGGGUUGUAAAGCACUUUCAGCGGGGAGGAAGGCGAUAAGGUUAAUAACCUCAUCGAUUGACGUUACCCGCAGAAGAAGCACCGGCUAACUCCGUGCCAGCAGCCGCGGUAAUACGGAGGGUGCAAGCGUUAAUCGGAAUUACUGGGCGUAAAGCGCACGCAGGCGGUCUGUCAAGUCGGAUGUGAAAUCCCCGGGCUCAACCUGGGAACUGCAUUCCAAACUGGCAGGCUAGAGUCUUGUAGAGGGGGGUAGAAUUCCAGGUGUAGCGAUGAAAUGCGUAUAGAUCUGGAGGAAUACCGGUGGCGAAGGCGGCCCCCUGGACAAAGACUGACGCUCAGGUGCGAAAGCGUGGGGAGCAAACAGG